AUUCCAGCUCCAAUAGUGUACAUUAAAGUUGUUGCAGUUAUAAAGCCUGUAGCUGGAUUUCUGGUGUCGCUGUGCUUCCGCGUGUUUAAUUACAUGUCAAGUUGUGUUUGCGUCGCCAUCUUUUAGCAGCACCCUCCUGGCAUUAGGUUGUUGGGUUGGUAAUGCAAAUCGUUUACUGUGAAGAAAUUAGAGUGUUCAAAGCAGGCUUAUGCCGUUGAAUACGUUAGCAUGGAAUUAUGAGAUAGGACCUUGAUACUAUUUUGUUGGUUUGCGUGUCGAGAUAAUGAUGAAUAGGGGCAGUUGGGGGUAUUUGUAUUCCGUUGUCAGAGGUGGAAUUCUUGGAUUUACGGAAGACGAACGACUGCGAAAGCAUUUACCAAGGAUGUUUUCAUCA
RNAcentral lists this ribosomal RNA (394 nucleotides) under Leptocylindrus sp. Its description in RNAcentral is "partial small subunit ribosomal RNA". It matches the Rfam family "Eukaryotic small subunit ribosomal RNA", at positions 582 to 975 of the family's 1831-position model. The record is from RNAcentral. Lineage: Eukaryota; Bacillariophyta; Leptocylindrophyceae; Leptocylindrales; Leptocylindraceae.